RNAcentral lists this long non-coding RNA (939 nucleotides) under Phasianus colchicus (ring-necked pheasant). RNAcentral describes it as "lncRNA (ENSPCLG00000004499.1)". The record is from RNAcentral. Lineage: Eukaryota; Metazoa; Chordata; Aves; Galliformes; Phasianidae.
AGCAGGCUGAGAGGGAAAUAGGGAGCUUCCCUUGCGUUCACAUGCAAAUCACCCAUAGAGAACAGGACAGGUUAAGGCCCCACUAAUUUGCAAGCGGUUGCUUGUGGAUGUACUGCAACAUGGAUGUGGACUUCAAUGAAUUCAGCCAAAAUAUGGUUUCAACAAUUAGCUUAGGUAAGAAAAUGUUGCAAGACCAAUUACCUGGUUUCCAGCAUAGCAUGAAGUGAUUUUCAUUGACUAAUCCUGAAAACACGUAUUACCGGCUGCAGUGGUCCUAGCACAGGUGGUUCAUUUGGCAACAAAUGUAUAAGGAAUAACCUGAAAUGGUGAAAUAAGAACGUGAUUCAUCCGUGGAUAUUCCUGCCCUGGUAAUAGCUUCAAGAUUUGAAGAAGAGUAGCAGUUAUCUGUAGUCUUUCCCUCACUCUUAUGCACGAAGUGCUUCGGAAGACACAUACAGAACAGCCCAGUGGAAAAGACGCCAGUUUCAAGGAAGGAAAAUAAGCGACUUGAUGGUAGCCAGUACUUUUCAUGCUGCAAGGAAAACUUCUGCAACUUGUACAUCAAGUCACUGAUGUACAUUACAAGGAAAGACAGAAAUGCUUUUAGGACUUCUCAGCCGUAUAAUGAGGAUCAUCUUGUUUGGGAUAUGACCACAGUGUAACAACAGGGUCAUGCUUUCUCUGCCAGAUUCCUGUCUCAGAGGAGAUCUAGGUAAGCAGAACUCUAAAGUCAUUAAUACCUGGUAACUGCAUGUUGUCUAUAUGGCAUUAUCUUCUCUGUUUAUUUGCAUACGGGUGUCAGUGUCACCAAAUCCACUGGCACCAUUAGUGCCUGCUGGCUGAGUUAUCACAGUGACCAACAAAUUAAGUGGCAAAGAGAAUGAGUUACUUUGCCAAGAGGAAGCAGUCAAAAUAAAGCAGACAUGAUGAUUAGGAUCA